Molecule: ribosomal RNA, 177 nt
Filed under: Pseudomonas delhiensis
Lineage: Bacteria; Pseudomonadati; Pseudomonadota; Gammaproteobacteria; Pseudomonadales; Pseudomonadaceae
Description: 16S rRNA. Bacterial SSU
Rfam family: Bacterial small subunit ribosomal RNA
Source: RNAcentral
UUGAACUGAAGAGUUUGAUCAUGGCUCAGAUUGAACGCUGGCGGCAGGCCUAACACAUGCAAGUCGAGCGGAUGAAGGGAGCUUGCUCCCGGAUUCAGCGGCGGACGGGUGAGUAAUGCCUAGGAAUCUGCCUGGUAGUGGGGGACAACGUUCCGAAAGGAGCGCUAAUACCGCAUA